This 520-nucleotide ribosomal RNA is filed under the name uncultured Glomus. Its description in RNAcentral is "SSU rRNA". It matches the Rfam family "Eukaryotic small subunit ribosomal RNA", at positions 569 to 1092 of the family's 1831-position model. The record is from RNAcentral. Lineage: Eukaryota; Fungi; Glomeromycota; Glomeromycetes; Glomerales; Glomeraceae.
AGCAGCCGCGGUAAUUCCAGCUCCAAUAGCGUAUAUUAAAGUUGUUGCAGUUAAAAAGCUCGUAGUUGAAUUUCGGGGCCAGUAGGUUGGUCGUGCCACUGGUAUGUACUGGCCUUACUGGUCCCUCCUUCUUGUAGAACCGUGAUGCCAUUAAUUUGGUGUUGCGGGGAAACAGGACUGUUACUUUGAAAAAAUUAGAGUGGUUAAAGCAGGCUCGCGCUUGAAUACAUUAGCAUGGAAUAACGGAAUAGGGCGAUCGAACCUAUUUGUUGGUUUCUAGGAUCGACGUAAUGAUUAAUAGGGAUAGUUGGGGGCAUUAGUAUUCAAUUGUCAGAGGUGAAAUUCUUGGAUUUAUUGAAGACUAACUACUGCGAAAGCAUUUGCCAAGGAUGUUUUCAUUAAUCAAGAACGAAAGUUAGGGGAUCGAGGACGAUCAGAUACCGUCGUAGUCUUAACCAUAAACUAUGCCGACUAGGGAUCGGAUGAAGUUAAUUUUUAAUGACUCAUUCGGCGCCUUACG